UAUGUAACGGGGCUAAGCCAGUUACCGAAGCUGCGGAUGUGCAAUUUAUUGCAUGUGGUAGGAGAGCGUUCUGUAAGCCUGUGAAGGUGGCUUGUGAAGGCUGCUGGAGGUAUCAGAAGUGCGAAUGCUGACAUGAGUAGCGUUAAAGGGGGUGAAAAGCCCCCUCGCCGAAAGCGCAAGGUUUCCUACGCAACGUUCAUCGGCGUAGGGUGAGUCGGCCCCUAAGGCGAGGCAGAGAUGCGUAGCUGAUGGGAAACAGGUCAAUAUUCCUGUACCGAUUGCAAGUGCGAUGUGGGGACGGAGAAGGUUAGCUCAGCCAACUGUUGGAUAUGUUGGUUCAAGCGUGUGGUCGUGUCUCUUAGGCAAAUCCGGGAGAAUUAGAUGAGGCGUGAUAACGAGUCUGCUUGCAGACGAAGUGAGUGAUACCCUGCUUCCAAGAAAAGCCACUAAGCUUCAGCUUGUAAUUGACCGUACCGCAAACCGACACUGGUGCGCGAGAUGAGUAUUCUAAGGCGCUUGAGAGAACUCUGGAGAAGGAACUCGGCAAAUUGACACCGUAACUUCGGAAGAAGGUGUGCCUUUAGUAGGUGAACCAUUUACUUGGGGAGCCCAAUGAGGCCGCAGAGAAUCGGUGGCUGCAACUGUUUAUUAAAAACACAGCACUCUGCAAAGACGAAAGUCGACGUAUAGGGUGUGACUCCUGCCCGGUGCUGGAAGAUUAAAUGAUGGGGUGCAAGCUCUUGACUGAAGUCCCAGUAAACGGCGGCCGUAACUAUAACGGUCCUAAGGUAGCGAAAUUCCUUGUCGGGUAAGUUCCGACCUGCACGAAUGGAGUAAUGAUGGCCACACUGUCUCCUCCAGAGACUCAGCGAAGUUGAAAUGUUUGUGAUGAUGCAAUCUCCCCGCGGAAAGACGGAAAGACCCCAUGAACCUUUACUGUAGCUUUACAUUGGACUUUGAACAGAUCUGUGUAGGAUAGGUGGGAGGCUUUGAAGAGUGGACGCUAGUUUGCUUGGAGCCAACGUUGAAAUACCACCCUGGUGUGUUUGAGGUUCUAACCUUGGUCCCUUAUCGGGAUUGGGACAGUGUAUGGUGGGCAGUUUGACUGGGGCGGUCUCCUCCCAAAGUGUAACGGAGGAGUUCGAAGGUACGCUAAAUACGGUCAGAAAUCGUGUUGAUAGUGCAUUGGCAUAAGCGUGCUUGACUGCGAGACUGACAAGUCGAGCAGGUACGAAAGC
This 1238-nucleotide ribosomal RNA is filed under the name metagenome. RNAcentral describes it as "bacterial LSU rRNA". It matches the Rfam family "Bacterial large subunit ribosomal RNA", at positions 1169 to 2406 of the family's 2925-position model. The record is from RNAcentral.